AUUGAACGCUGGCGGCAUGCCUUACACAUGCAAGUCGAACGGCAGCGGACCUUCGGGUGCCGGCGAGUGGCGAACGGGUGAGUAAUAUAUCGGAACGUACCUUUCAGUGGGGGAUAACGUAGCGAAAGUUACGCUAAUACCGCAUAUUCUGUGAGCAGGAAAGCAGGGGAUCGCAAGACCUUGCGCUGAUUGAGCGGCCGAUAUCAGAUUAGCUAGUUGGUGAGGUAAAGGCUCACCAAGGCGACGAUCUGUAGCGGGUCUGAGAGGAUGAUCCGCCACACUGGAACUGAGACACGGUCCAGACUCCUACGGGAGGCAGCAGUGGGGAAUUUUGGACAAUGGGCGCAGGCCUGAUCCAGCCAUGCCGCGUGAGUGAAGAAGGCCUC
This 386-nucleotide ribosomal RNA is filed under the name uncultured bacterium. Its description in RNAcentral is "bacterial SSU rRNA". It matches the Rfam family "Bacterial small subunit ribosomal RNA", at positions 30 to 418 of the family's 1533-position model. The record is from RNAcentral.